Molecule: ribosomal RNA, 251 nt
Filed under: uncultured bacterium
Lineage: Bacteria
Description: partial 16S ribosomal RNA
Rfam family: Bacterial small subunit ribosomal RNA
Source: RNAcentral
UACGAAGGGGGCUAGCGUUGCUCGGAAUCACUGGGCGUAAAGGGUGCGUAGGCGGGUUUUUAAGUCAGGGGUGAAAUCCUGGAGCUCAACUCCAGAACUGCCUUUGAUACUGAAGAUCUUGAGUCCGGGGAGAGGUGAGUGGAACUGCGAGUGUAGAGGUGGAAAUUCGUAGAUAUCGCAAGAACACCGGUGGCGAAGGCGGUCUGCUGGGGCAGUAGCUGACACUGAGGCGCGACAGCGUGGGGAGCAAA